GACGGGGCCGCACAGCGGAGGAACAUGUGGUUUAAUCGAUGAUACGCGAGGAACCUUACCCGGGCUUGAAAUGCAUCUGACCGGCCUUGAAAGACGGUUUUCCCUUCGGGGCAGAUGUGUAGGUGCUGCAUGGUUGUCGUCAGCUCGUGCCGUGAGGUGUCGGCUUAAGUGCCAUAACGAGCGCAACCCUCAUCAUUAGUUACCAUCAGGUAAGGCUGGGGACUCUAAUGAGACUGCCAUCGUAAGAUGUGAGGAAGGUGGGGAUGACGUCAAAUCAGCACGGCCCUUACGUCCGGGGCGACACACGUGUUACAAUGGGUGGUACAAAGGGCAGCUACCUGGCGACAGGAUGCUAAUCUCCAAAACCACUCUCAGUUCGGAUCGGAGUCUGCAACUCGACUCCGUGAAGCUGGAUUCGCUAGUAAUCGCGCAUCAGCCACGGCGCGGUGAAUACGUUCCCGGGCCUU
This 467-nucleotide ribosomal RNA is filed under the name uncultured Proteiniphilum sp. Its description in RNAcentral is "bacterial SSU rRNA". It matches the Rfam family "Bacterial small subunit ribosomal RNA", at positions 917 to 1381 of the family's 1533-position model. The record is from RNAcentral. Lineage: Bacteria; Pseudomonadati; Bacteroidota; Bacteroidia; Bacteroidales; Dysgonomonadaceae.